RNAcentral lists this ribosomal RNA (520 nucleotides) under uncultured bacterium. Its description in RNAcentral is "partial 16S ribosomal RNA". It matches the Rfam family "Bacterial small subunit ribosomal RNA", at positions 28 to 507 of the family's 1533-position model. The record is from RNAcentral.
GACGAACGCUGGCGGCGUGCCUAAUACAUGCAAGUCGAACGCACUCUCGUUUAUAUUGAAGGAUUUUGCUCCUGAUUGAUAAACAUUUGAGUGAGUGGCGGCCGGGUUAGUAACACGUGUGUAACCUGCCCUAAAGUGGGGGUAAACGUUUGGAAACAGAUGCUAAUACCGCAUAAAACCUAACACCGCAUGGUGUGGGGUUAAAAGAUGGUUUCGGCUUUCACUUUGGGAUGGACCCGCGGUGCAUUAGUUAGUUGGUGAGGUAAAGGCUCACCAAGACCGUGAUGCAUAGCCGACCUGAGAGGGUAAUCGGCCACCCUGGGACUGAGACACGGCCCAGACUCCUACGGGAGGCAGCAGUAGGGAAUCUUCCACAAUGGACGAAAGUCUGAUGGAGCAACGCCGCGUGAGUGAAGAAGGUUUUCGGAUCGUAAAACUCUGUUGUUGGAGAAGAAUGUAUCUGAUAGUAACUGAUCAGGUAGUGACGGUAUCCAAUCAGAAAGCCACGGCUAACUACGUG